RNAcentral lists this ribosomal RNA (440 nucleotides) under uncultured bacterium. Its description in RNAcentral is "partial 16S ribosomal RNA". It matches the Rfam family "Bacterial small subunit ribosomal RNA", at positions 338 to 795 of the family's 1533-position model. The record is from RNAcentral.
CCUACGGGAGGCAGCAGUGGGGAAUAUUGCACAAUGGGGGAAACCCUGAUGCAGCGACGCCGCGUGAGUGAAGAAGUAAUUCGUUAUGUAAAGCUCUAUCAGCAGGGAAGAAAAUGACGGUACCUGAGUAAGAAGCCCCGGCUAACUACGUGCCAGCAGCCGCGGUAAUCCGUAGGGGGCAAGCGUUAUCCGGAUUUACUGGGUGUAAAGGGAGCGUAGACGGCAGUGCAAGUCUGGAGGGAAAGGCGGGGGCUCAACCCCCGGACUGCUCUGGAAACUGUACGGCUGGAGUGCAGGAGAGGUAAGUGGAAUUCCUGGUGUAGCGGUGAAAUGCGUAGAUAUUAGGAGGAACACCAGUGGCGAAGGCGGCUUACUGGACUGUAACUGACGUUGAGGCUCGAAAGCGUGGGGAGCAAACAGGAUUAGAUACCCCAGUAGUC